AGCUCCAAUAGCGUAUAUUAAAGUUGUUGCAGUUAAAAAGCUCGUAGUUGGAUCUCGGGUCCAGGCUUGUGGUCCGCUCUUUGGCGGUUACUGCUUGUCCUGACCUAUCUCCCCGGUUGGCCCUUGGUGCUCUUGGUUGAGUGUCUCGGGUGGCCGGAACGUUUACUUUGAAAAAAUUAGAGUGUUCAAAGCAGGCUAACUGCCUGAAUAAUGGUGCAUGGAAUAAUGGAAUAGGACCUCGGUUCUAUUUUGUUGGUUUUCUGAACUGGAGGUAAUGAUUAAGAGGGACGGACGGGGGCAUCCGUAUUGCGGUGUUAGAGGUGAAAUUCUUGGAUCAUCGCAAGACGAACUACUGCGAAAGCAUUUGCCAAGAAUGUUUUCA
This 382-nucleotide ribosomal RNA is filed under the name marine Metazoa environmental sample. RNAcentral describes it as "SSU rRNA". It matches the Rfam family "Eukaryotic small subunit ribosomal RNA", at positions 587 to 972 of the family's 1831-position model. The record is from RNAcentral. Lineage: Eukaryota; Metazoa.